CCUGAACGCUGGCGGCGUGGCUAAGACAUGCAAGUCGUACGGUGUAGCAAUACACAGUGGCGAACGGGUGAGUAAUGUAUCGCUAAUGUACCCCGGACUCUGAGAUAGCUGCCCGAAAGGGCAGGUAAUACCAGAUGAUAUGACCUUAUCGCAUGAUAAGGGUCUCAAAGGUCCGCCGGUCUGGGAGCAGGCGAUAUCGUAUCAGCUAGUUGGGAGGUAAUGGCUCACCAAGGCGACGACGCGUAGCCGGACUGAGAGGUUGGCCGGCCACAUUGGGACUGAGACACUGCCCAGACUCCUACGGGGGGCUGCAGUAACGAAUCUUCCGCAAUGCACGAAAGUGUGACGGAGCGACGCCGCGUGUAGGACGAAGCCCUUCGGGGUGUAAACUACUGUCAGGGUUAGAAAGUCUGAUCAACCCCAGAGGAAGGCACGGCUAACUCUGUGCCAGCCGCCGCGGUAAC
Molecule: ribosomal RNA, 464 nt
Filed under: uncultured bacterium
Lineage: Bacteria
Description: bacterial SSU rRNA
Rfam family: Bacterial small subunit ribosomal RNA
Source: RNAcentral